This 253-nucleotide ribosomal RNA is filed under the name uncultured prokaryote. RNAcentral's name for it is "partial 16S ribosomal RNA". It matches the Rfam family "Bacterial small subunit ribosomal RNA", at positions 525 to 777 of the family's 1533-position model. The record is from RNAcentral.
ACAGAGGUCCCAAGCGUUGUUCGGAUUCACUGGGCGUAAAGGGUGCGUAGGUGGCCGGGUAAGUCUGAUGUGAAGUCUCCGAGCUCAACUCGGAAAUGGCAUUGGAUACUAUCCGGCUAGAGGGUCGGAGGGGGGACUGGAAUUCUCGGUGUAGCAGUGAAAUGCGUAGAUAUCGAGAGGAACACCGGUGGCGAAGGCGGCAUCCUGGACCGGCAUUGACGCUGAGGCGCGAAAGCCAGGGGAGCAAACGGGA